UGGGGAAUAUUGGACAAUGGGCGCAAGCCUGAUCCAGCAAUGCCGCGUGUGUGAAGAAGGCCUGCGGGUUGUAAAGCACUUUGAGCGGGGAAGAAGGCGCGGGGAUUAAUACUUUCCGCGAUUGACGUUACCCGCAGAACAAGCACCGGCUAACUCCGUGCCAGCAGCCGCGGUAAUACGGAGGGUGCGAGCGUUAAUCGGAAUUACUGGGCGUAAAGCGCGCGCAGGCGGCCUUGCAAGCCCGACGUGAAAGCCCCGGGCUCAACCUGGGAACUGCGCCGGGGACUGUAAGGCUGGAGUGCGGGAGAGGGGUGCGGAAUUUCCGGUGUAGCAGUGAAAUGCGUAGAGAUCGGAAGGAACACCAGCGGCGAAGGCGGCACCCUGGACCGACACUGACGCUGAGGCGCGAAAGCGUGGGGAGCAAACA
RNAcentral lists this ribosomal RNA (427 nucleotides) under uncultured Gammaproteobacteria bacterium. RNAcentral's name for it is "uncultured gamma proteobacterium partial 16S ribosomal RNA". It matches the Rfam family "Bacterial small subunit ribosomal RNA", at positions 355 to 774 of the family's 1533-position model. Lineage: Bacteria; Pseudomonadati; Pseudomonadota; Gammaproteobacteria. The record is from RNAcentral.